CCCGGAUGGCCAGAGCAUCAUUGAGCAGGUGGGCAGCCUCCUUGUACUUGUUCUGAUCCCUGGGAGCAGGUAGGAGCAUGGUCAGGGCUGUCCUCCAGCUCAAGGCCCUCCCCAAUGGUCUGCAAUCCCUGUGGUCACUCCUGUACUCACUGAGUGUGUAUGACAGAGUGAGACCCAGAGUGUGGGGAGACCUGCUCAGCUCCUGCUCUCCAAGCUCCAAGGGCUGUAGGCAGUUUUCUCACAAUUGGCUGGGGUGCGCAGUGCUGGGGUCCCACCGACUGCCUGGUGCCUAGCAUUCCUGGGCGCCACAUGGCUCUCCUGCUGCCCCUUUAGCGUGUCCUGCUCUCCAGGUCCCAGUGCCUUUGCUCAUGCUGGCUUUUUGCCAUGGGAACCUUUUCUAGCCCUCUUGUGUUUGGGCAAACUCACUUUCUGGCAAAGCCCCUCCUCCAGCCUUGGUGCCUGGAGAAGCUGUGUGGACUCCCCAGGACCCCUGGAGUCCUCAUGUGCAGUCCCUCCCCAGUUCUGGCCAAGCCUCUCUCUUACACUAGACAGUUUUACUUGCAUCUGUAGCCCAGCUCCACGCAGGUGGGCCACGAGUCCUGGCCCACAGCAGGCACCAAGGGUUAGUGAUCCAGGGCUGGAGCCUUCCAGAAGAAUUUGGGCACCCCCAGAGAGUCCUCACCGAUAGACCAGUGCCAGGAUGUUCAGCAUGGUGGCAACGUCAGGGUGGUCGUGGCCUGACGUCUUCUCCAGGUCUUCGAGUGCCUGCUUGCAGAGUGGCACAGCUACCUCGUAGCGGCCCUGUGAGGCGUAUUGGAUCACCAGGUUGUGCAGGGUGCGGAGCCGGGCCGGGAUCUCGUAGCCCCCAUGCUGACCAGACACAUCCCCUCCUCCUGGGCUAGGGGCUGCAGGGCCAAGGGCAGGAGGUCAGAUGUACCAUCUGCCCACUGGACUGGGAUGGCACAUGCCAGCUGUGCCUUUGAGCCACUUGACACAUGGCCCUGGGCAAGUCACUAACCACUCUUUCUCAGUUUCCCCAUUUAUAGAAUGGGUCUAGUUACCCCAUAGAAAGAGGGGGUAGAGGCCCAGCUCCAGUACUUCAGGCUCUGUGUCCUGGGGCAAGCUGCCUAACCUCUGAGCCUGUGUCCCUGUGUACAGAGUGGAGGCCCCGAUGCAUAACCAGUACCAUCAGCAAAGCAGGCACUGGCCCCAUUGUGGCUGUCUGCAUGUGCCUCCUUCAGAGGUGAUUCGGAGAGGAAGAGAACUCUCCCAAGGGUCAGGGAAGCUAGUGGCAGAGCAGCACUGGAAGCCAGGCUGGUGACUCCACAGCUAAUUGUGAUGUCUGCUCACCACAGAGCUGGGGGGAUGUGAGAAGCAGCAGCACGUACAACUGUUCUUGAAGCUCUAACACACUAGGAUGUCAUGAUCAGAAGUGAGGCAGGAAGGAACAUGGCAGCCACUCGGUCCCAAGGACCAAGAGUUCACACAACCUUUCCUUCCCCCACUCCAGAACUGCCCAUCCGCACCUGGGCUCUGCUCAUCCUCAUUGGGGAACAGGUCAUCCAGUGUGUCUUUGGGGACGUCCCCCUUCUCCUCCUGGGAAGGAAGACAGGAUGAGCAUCAGGGAAGGAGGCACAGGGCAGCCGGGGUGUCCAUGGGCUGGGGUGGAGCCGAAUCUGCUCCAUGCUGCCCCUCCCUGCUCCCAGGCCUCCUUGCUGGGCAACAGUGACCAUGGUAGGAGCUCACGUUAGGGGAGGCGUCUUCAUCCAACUUGCGGAUCUGGCUCAUGAACAGCAAGUGCUGCUUCUCCUCCUCGAGCUGGGCCACGGCCUGCUCACUGCGCUGCAGCUUCUGCUGUGUCCCCGCCAGCUCCUCACGCAGCCACUGGUUCUCCUGCACCAGACGCCGCACCUGCGCCCGCAGCUUCUGCUUCUCUGAUUCUACAGCCCCCAGGUGGCUCGACAAUGCCAAGAUCACCUGUGCAACCAGCCCAGCCUCUGCUGCCACAGCCAGUAGGUUACUGCUCCCUGCCUCAGGGCUAGCGCUUGCCCACAGAACUCUGCUAGAUGGCUGAAGGACCACCCAAAGACUCCAUCCCCACUUCUGCUGAGGGGCCACAGCAUCCCCUGCCUUUCUGCAGCUCCCAGGUCUUGCUGGACCUACCUCCAGAACAUCCAGAACUGGUCCCUUUUCUCCACCGUCAUAGCCACCCCUUAAUUCCAAGCACCAGCUCUCAUUUGAAUUCCAGCAGUGGCUUCCUAACCACUCAUUGGAGAGUGAUUCCAUCCUCGACCCACUGAGGUUUAUUCUCCACAUCUCAGCCAGAGAGAGUUUUUAGAAACUCAAGUCAGACUGUGUUGCCUGCCUGCUUAAAGCCCUCCAGAGGCUUUCUGAUUUCCUGAGAAUAAAACCCAAACCAACCA
RNAcentral lists this long non-coding RNA (2423 nucleotides) under Homo sapiens (human). Its description in RNAcentral is "HSALNT0363380". The record is from RNAcentral. Lineage: Eukaryota; Metazoa; Chordata; Mammalia; Primates; Hominidae.